AGAGUUUGAUCCUGGCUCAGAACUAACGCUGGCGGCGUGCCUAACACAUGCAAGUCGUACGAGAAAGUCGGCUUCAGCUGAUGAGUAAAGUGGCGCACGGGUGAGUAACGCGUGGAUAAUCUGCCCUUUAGUGUGGAAUAACGUACCGAAAGGUGCGCUAAUACCGCAUAAUACUGAGUGACUACUGUCAUUUAGUCAAAGAAGGCCUCUGUUUACAAGCUUUUGCUGAAGGAUGAGUCCGCGUACCAUUAGCUAGUUGGUCGGGUAAUGGCCUACCAAGGCGACGAUGGUUAGCUGGUCUGAGAGGAUGAUCAGCCACACUGGAACUGAGACACGGUCCAGACUCCUACGGGAGGCAGCAGUGAGGAAUAUUGCGCAAUGGGGGCAACCCUGACGCAGCAACGCCGCGUGAGUGAGGAAGGUUUUCGGACCGUAAAGCUCUGUCGAGCGGGAAGAAGUGUAUGGUGGCUAAUAUCCAUCAUACUUGACGGUACCGCUAGAGGAAGCACCGGCUAACUCCGUGCCAGCAGCCGCGGUAAUACGGGGGGUGCAAGCGUUGUUCGGAAUUAUUGGGCGUAAAGAGCGUGUAGGCGGCUGGAUAAGUCAGAUGUGAAAUCCCUGGGCUUAACUCAGGAAGUGCAUUUGAAACUAUCCAGCUUGAGUAAGGGAGAGGAAAGUGGAAUUCCUGGUGUAGAGGUGAAAUUCGUAGAUAUCAGGAGGAACACCGGUGGCGAAGGCGACUUUCUGGCCCUAUACUGACGCUGAGACGCGAGAGCGUGGGUAGCAAACAGGAUUAGAUACCCUGGUAGUCCACGCUGUAAACGAUGUUCACUAGGUGUUGGGGGUAUUGACCCUCUCAGUGCCGCAGCUAACGCAUUAAGUGAACCGCCUGGGGAGUACGGUCGCAAGAUUAAAACUCAAAGGAAUUGACGG
RNAcentral lists this ribosomal RNA (933 nucleotides) under uncultured bacterium. RNAcentral's name for it is "bacterial SSU rRNA". It matches the Rfam family "Bacterial small subunit ribosomal RNA", at positions 8 to 916 of the family's 1533-position model. The record is from RNAcentral.